UACUGCAUUUUUUCUUACCAUGUGUUUUUCUUUUUUUGAAAACUUUGCUUUGGUAGGGGUCUAUAUGGGGCCUGCCAGAGAUUAAACUCAACCAAAUUUUAUUUAAUGUCAACCGAUUAUUUAAUAGUCAAAACUUUCAACAACGGAUCUCUUGGUUCUCGCAUCGAUGAAGAACGCAGCGAAAUGCGAUAAGUAAUAUGAAUUGCAGAUAUUCGUGAAUCAUCGAAUCUUUGAACGCACAUUGCGCCCUUUGGUAUUCCAAAGGGCAUGCCUGUUUGAGCGUCAUUUCUCCCUCAAACCCUCGGGUUUGGUGUUGAGCGAUACGCUGGGUUUGCUUGAAAGAAAGGCGGAGUAUAAACUAAUGGAUAGGUUUUUUCCACUCAUUGGUACAAACUCCAAAACUUCUUCCAAAUUCGACCUCAAAUCAGGUAGGACUACCCGCUGAACUUAAGCAUAUCAAUAAGCGGAGG
Molecule: ribosomal RNA, 470 nt
Filed under: Lodderomyces parapsilosis
Lineage: Eukaryota; Fungi; Ascomycota; Pichiomycetes; Serinales; Debaryomycetaceae
Description: eukaryotic LSU rRNA
Rfam family: 5.8S ribosomal RNA (bases 132-285)
Source: RNAcentral